CCUACGGGAGACAGCAGUGGGGAAUAUUGCACAAUGGGGGAAACCCUGAUGCAGCGACGCCGCGUGAGUGAAGAAGUAUUUCGGUAUGUAAAGCUCUAUCAGCAGGGAAGAAGAAAGACGGUACCUUACUAAUAAUCACCGGCUAACGACGUACCAGCAGCCGCGGUAAUACGGAGGGGGCAAGCGUUAUCCGGAUUUACUGGGUGUAAAGGGAUCGUAGACGGUUGUGUAAGUCUGAAGUGAAAGCCCAGGGCUCAACCCGGGGACUGCAUUGGAAACUGGGGAGCUAGAGUGAUGGAGAGGUAAGUGGAAUUCCUAGUGUAGCGGUGAAAUGCGUAGAUAUUAGGAGGAACACCAGUGGCGAAGGCGGCUUACUGGACAGUAACUGACGUUGAGGUUCGAAAGCGUGGGGAGCAAACAGGAUUAGAUACCCGAGUAGUC
This 441-nucleotide ribosomal RNA is filed under the name uncultured bacterium. RNAcentral describes it as "partial 16S ribosomal RNA". It matches the Rfam family "Bacterial small subunit ribosomal RNA", at positions 338 to 795 of the family's 1533-position model. The record is from RNAcentral.